Molecule: ribosomal RNA, 336 nt
Filed under: uncultured bacterium
Lineage: Bacteria
Description: partial 16S ribosomal RNA
Rfam family: Bacterial small subunit ribosomal RNA
Source: RNAcentral
CGAACGAAGCAGGGGGGCGGAAUCUCUCCGGAGGGGAAGCCCCCCUGACUGAGUGGCGGACGGGUGAGUAACGCGUGGACAACCUACCCCGCACUGGGGGACAACAGCCGGAAACGGCUGCUAAUACCGCAUAUGCGCACGGCCCCGCAUGGGGCCGCGCGGAAAGCGCAUGCGGUGCGGGAUGGGUCCGCGUCUGAUUAGCUUGUUGGCGGGGUAACGGCCCACCAAGGCGACGAUCAGUAGCCGGCCUGAGAGGGUGGACGGCCACAUUGGGACUGAGACACGGCCCAUACUCCUACGGGAGGCUGCAGUGGGGGAUCUUGCACAUUGGGGGCA